UACGGGGGGAGCAAGCGUUGUUCGGAUUUACUGGGCGUAAAGGGCGCGUAGGCGGCCACUGCAAGUCAGUUGUGAAAUCUCCGGGCUUAACCCGGAAAGGUCAACUAAUACUGCAGGGCUAGAGUGCAGAAGGGGCAACUGGAAUUCUCGGUGUAGCGGUGAAAUGCGUAGAUAUCUGGAGGAACACCGGUGGCGAAGGCGGCAUCCUGGACCGGCAUUGACGCUGAGGCGCGAAAGCCAGGGGAGCAAACGGG
RNAcentral lists this ribosomal RNA (254 nucleotides) under uncultured bacterium. RNAcentral describes it as "partial 16S ribosomal RNA". It matches the Rfam family "Bacterial small subunit ribosomal RNA", at positions 524 to 776 of the family's 1533-position model. The record is from RNAcentral.